RNAcentral lists this ribosomal RNA (491 nucleotides) under uncultured bacterium. RNAcentral describes it as "partial 16S ribosomal RNA". It matches the Rfam family "Bacterial small subunit ribosomal RNA", at positions 29 to 506 of the family's 1533-position model. The record is from RNAcentral.
AGUGAACGUUGGCGGUAGGCCUAACACAUGCAAGUCGAACGGCAGCACAGUAAGAGCUUGCUCUUACGGGUGGCGAGUGGCGGACGGGUGAGGAAUACAUCGGAAUCUACUUUUUCGUGGGGGAUAACGUAGGGAAACUUACGCUAAUACCGCAUACGACCUACGGGUGAAAGCAGGGGAUCUUCGGACCUUGCGCGAUUGAAUGAGCCGAUGUCGGAUUAGCUAGUUGGCGGGGUAAAGGCCCACCAAGGCGACGAUCCGUAGCUGGUCUGAGAGGAUGAUCAGCCACACUGGAACUGAGACACGGUCCAGACUCCUACGGGAGGCAGCAGUGGGGAAUAUUGGACAAUGGGCGCAAGCCUGAUCCAGCCAUACCGCGUGGGUGAAGAAGGCCUUCGGGUUGUAAAGCCCUUUUGUUGGGAAAGAAAAGCAGCAGGUUAAUACCCCGCUGUUCUGACGGUACCCAAAGAAUAAGCACCGGCUAACUUCGU